GGGGUUGUAGCUCAAUUGGUAGAGCGCUUGCAUGGCAUGCAAGAGGUAAGCGGUUCAAUCCCGCUCAGCUCCACCA
RNAcentral lists this transfer RNA (76 nucleotides) under Candidatus Margulisiibacteriota bacterium. RNAcentral describes it as "tRNA-Ala". It matches the Rfam family "tRNA". From Rfam's summary of the family: Transfer RNA (tRNA) molecules are approximately 80 nucleotides in length. Their secondary structure includes four short double-helical elements and three loops (D, anti-codon, and T loops). The record is from RNAcentral. Lineage: Bacteria; Bacillati; Candidatus Margulisiibacteriota.